CGGACGAGUGAGUAACGCGUGGAAAACCUGCCGUAUACUGGGGGAUAACACUUAGAAAUAGGUGCUAAUACCGCAUAAGCGCACAGCUUCGCAUGAAGCGGUGUGAAAAACUCUGGUGGUAUACGAUGGUUCCGCGUCUGAUUAGCUAGUUGGUGGGGUAAUGGCCUACCAAGGCAACGAUCAGUAGCCGGCCUGAGAGGGUGAACGGCCACAUUGGGACUGAGACACGGCCCAAACUCCUACGGGAGGCAGCAG
Molecule: ribosomal RNA, 255 nt
Filed under: uncultured bacterium
Lineage: Bacteria
Description: partial 16S ribosomal RNA
Rfam family: Bacterial small subunit ribosomal RNA
Source: RNAcentral